Non-coding RNA from Myodes glareolus (Bank vole), 956 nucleotides. The record is from RefSeq and is a predicted model, not a curated record. NCBI's taxonomy places the organism in Eukaryota, Metazoa, Chordata, Mammalia, Rodentia, Cricetidae.
UUGAGCACAAAUUUUAGACUAAGAACAUUCUCUCAAAUAUUUGAUUAUAGUCAUGAACAAGGACCACAUUAGGCCCAAACCCCAGUCUCAACAGGUCCCUAGGGAUACCAGAAGAGUCUUAGAAGCCUCUUUUGCUUGGGAGACAUUUGUCAUCCCUAGUCAGUUGGAUUUUUCUUUGGAAAGCCUCACGGAGAGUGGGAGACAGAAAUAAAUCAGAGCUCAAAUCAGUCAAGAAGCUGAACAGAAAAAUUGCCCCACACUCUGCAGGUGUCCCGAAGUGUUCCACCCUCCCAUCAGGUUAAGCCAGGUGUGUGCCAGAUUCCCGGGAGUGGGAGUCCAAGGAGCCUUAGGUUUUGAACUUGGCUUAAGGCAGUUCUGGAGAGGCAUACGCGAGCAGAAUUCUCUUUGAAGGAACGCGGUUUUCAUCUUGGAUCUGAAAGAAUUUCGGUGUCUAAAGCCAGCGUGGUGAAAUAGUCACAUCUAUGAAAACUUACAGGCUUUCUGGAGUGGAUCUGAGUAGCCGAGCAGCCCUCAGACUCCUGUGUGGCCUAGAGAAGAAUGGUGUCCUUCAGCAUAGGUGACAAUAGGAAGACAUAUGUGACAGAUUCAUUUAUCUGCCGUUGCAAACCACAGUCCUUUUCCCUGGGAAGAUUUGGCAGGAACCAUCAGAACGUGGACAGCAUAGAAUCUGGACCGUGCAAAGAAGAACUCACAGGAGACAGAAGAGGUUGCCGAGAGGAUCACAUUAGGUCAAGGUUACAGCUGCAGACGUGGUCACGCACCUCACUCUCCCAUUGUGUGGCCUCGGUUCAGAGACACCUUGCAAAGCCAUUCUGGGACAGGUUCCGAAUAUCUUAGAAAAAAACAUUUCCAGGCACACCCUGCACUUUUAUUAACGUUACAUGUGUAUUUCAUUUAGGUUGUUUCUAUACAUUUUAAAAGUAUAGCUGGGUGGU